GCAAGCAGUCAAGCAGACGGUGGUCGCCGUUUCUCCUCCCGCGUCUCCUGCCGGCCUGCCCGUUCUUCGUCGGCUGCUGCCCCGGCCCCUGAAUCCCUGCUGCCCUACUUGUUCUUUGUCGGCAGAUGCCUGUCGUCCCGGACUCCCUUCCCAUUCUUCAGCAGUAGCAGGGGAUGGCAAAGAUCAGGGCAGAUCGCAGAGGCUCCUUGUGGCGGAGUGACCACGGCACAACUGCACGACAUGGGCAUGGGGACAUAGCGAACGGUGAGUGUCCAAACUCCAUACUAAAAUGAUUUGAUUUGUAUAUUGCUGGCUGCUUGUGUGGAUUUGACGUGGAGUGGGUGUGAUCUAACAAGAGUAGGAUUUUGGCAAGAUGGAAGUUUUCAUUGGCUGUGAUGUUUUAGUGAUGUAUUCGCCGUGCUUCUUUGGACUCUGAAGAAAGACACAAAGACAAUAGUAUUUAUGUUAACUUGGAAAUUUGAAUGCAGUUGUUCUGGC
This 498-nucleotide long non-coding RNA is filed under the name Setaria viridis. RNAcentral describes it as "long non-coding RNA (SVIR_LNC004926)". The record is from RNAcentral. Lineage: Eukaryota; Viridiplantae; Streptophyta; Magnoliopsida; Poales; Poaceae.